GAGGGGAUGAGAGAGGAGAGGAUGGGAGGGAGGAGUAACAAAAGUAAAAACAAAAACUUGAAAGUGAAAACAAUUUAAAAUAGAUUUCAGUUUUUAAUUUUUGUCUUCACUUUUGUUACUCCUCCCUCCCAUCCUUCACUCUCAUAUUCCCU
RNAcentral lists this microRNA precursor (152 nucleotides) under Prunus dulcis (almond). RNAcentral's name for it is "sRNA ncRNA". The record is from RNAcentral. Lineage: Eukaryota; Viridiplantae; Streptophyta; Magnoliopsida; Rosales; Rosaceae.